GGGGGUUAUAGUUUAAUCUCCUAGAAUA
Molecule: transfer RNA, 28 nt
Filed under: Collyriclum faba
Lineage: Eukaryota; Metazoa; Platyhelminthes; Trematoda; Plagiorchiida; Collyriclidae
Description: partial tRNA-Thr
Source: RNAcentral